RNAcentral lists this ribosomal RNA (128 nucleotides) under Lentibacillus lipolyticus. RNAcentral's name for it is "Lentibacillus sp. SSKP1-9 partial 16S ribosomal RNA". It matches the Rfam family "Bacterial small subunit ribosomal RNA", at positions 1415 to 1533 of the family's 1533-position model. Lineage: Bacteria; Bacillati; Bacillota; Bacilli; Caryophanales; Bacillaceae. The record is from RNAcentral.
CAACACCCGAAGUCGGUGAGGUAACCUUUUUGGAGCCAGCCGCCGAAGGUGGGGCCAAUGAUUGGGGUGAAGUCGUAACAAGGUAGCCGUAUCGGAAGGUGCGGCUGGAUCACCUCCUUUCUAAGGAA